AGAAGAAAGCGAAAAAAAGAAUAGAGGCAGGCAGUGUGACAUCUUCAUAUUCGCCACCGCUAUUUGCCUGCUCCCUUUUUUUCAUCCCCUUUCUUUUCCUCCCUUUUUUUCGCAUUUUUUUUUUUCUCUCUCUCUC
This 136-nucleotide non-coding RNA is filed under the name Palpitomonas bilix. The record is from RNAcentral.